RNAcentral lists this ribosomal RNA (449 nucleotides) under uncultured bacterium. Its description in RNAcentral is "bacterial SSU rRNA". It matches the Rfam family "Bacterial small subunit ribosomal RNA", at positions 28 to 480 of the family's 1533-position model. The record is from RNAcentral.
GAUGAACGCUAGCGGCAGGCCUAACACAUGCAAGUCGAGGGAGAAGCCCUUCGGGGCAGAAACCGGCGCACGGGUGCGUAACGCGUAUGCAACCUACCUUUCACAGGGGGAUAGCCCGAAGAAAUUUGGAUUAAUACCCCAUAAUAUUAUUGGAUGGCAUCAUUUGAUAAUUAAAACUGAGGUGGUGAAAGAUGGGCAUGCGUCCUAUUAGCUAGUUGGAGUGGUAACGGCACCCCAAGGCUACGAUAGGUAGGGGUCCUGAGAGGGAGAUCCCCCACACGGGUACUGAGACAGGGACCAGACUCCUACGGGAGGCAGCAGUGAGGAAUAUUGGUCAAUGGUCGGAAGACUGAACCAGCCAUGCCGCGUGCAGGAAGAAUGCCUUAUGGGUUGUAAACUGCUUUUAUAUGGGAAGAAUAAGGAGUACGUGUACUUUGANGACGNUNCCA